This is a long non-coding RNA of Xenopus laevis (African clawed frog), 1083 nucleotides long. RefSeq lists it as uncharacterized. NCBI's taxonomy places the organism in Eukaryota, Metazoa, Chordata, Amphibia, Anura, Pipidae. The transcript has 3 exons. The record is from RefSeq and is a predicted model, not a curated record.
GUGCCUGAUUGACCAACCAGACAGAAUUCCAGCUCAGCUGAGACAUUUCUUAUAUAAGUGAGUUCAAUGGGAAAUUCUCACUGCCUCUAACUCUUCCCUUCUGUCCCUACUCCCCUCACCCUCCCCUCCCACUCUGUGUCUCCCUUUGUCUUUGUCUCACUCAUUUCUACUUUUGUGUGUAGUUUUUGUGUUAUUGUGUCUCAUACUGCUGUCUGUUCCCUUCUAUUCAGCCUUGUACUCAUCUGAUCUUUCUCUGCAUUUCUUUCUUCUUUCCCUGUGUUGCUUGUUACUUUAUAAAUCAUGUGGAUACAUUUUGCCCCCCUAAAAAUUCCAUUUUGUAGGAAGCUACAAACUGUUGCAGUCUUGCAGUGGGCUGUCUCAUUUCUUGCAAUGGCUCAGUGCUGCAUUGCCCUCUAUCCUCCUGCUCUUCUCUCACUAUCGGUUCCUGGCUCUCCUCUAUGGAGUAUCGCUAUAUAUCUAUUGGCACACCCUAUCCAAUGGAGUUCGCAGCUGAACUGUGUGGAGAUACUUUGCUGAAUACUUUCCCAUCAAGAGCUCAUUUGGUUCCAGUACUGUCCUUUGGGGAGAAUGACUUGUACAAUCAGAUUUCUGCUCAGAACUACCCAGGAGAAGCUGCAAAAGAUUUUGGGAAUUUCCCUGCCCCUCUUUCAUAGUCGUGGUAUCUUCCAGUACAGUUUGGGUCUCCUCCCUCAUCUCAGAAAAAAAUCUAUACAGUGGGUGAGAAGUUUAAUUCUUUACUUGCUUGUGUCUCAAACCAACUGUCUCAUCUUUGUUAUCUCUGCCACCCCCAUUCUAUCCUCUCACAUGUCAAUAUUCUCCAUCUAUUGUGGGAUCUCCAAUCCCUGUGGCUAAAACCCCAUGUCCCACCCAGGAGCAAAUCUCAUCUCUUCAUGCCCUUUACACUCCAAAGUUUUGGGAUCUCUUUGAAAUGCACAAAGGUAACUAUAGAAUUCCCAGAGACCGAAACCUGGUGUUGUGCUGAGACUCCAUGGAAGUGGAGGAGAGUUAUUAAGACUGACUGGUGGACUCUAUCUCCUCUAGUCUUUUAAAUUUUCCUUGGCU